This is a small nuclear RNA of Colobus angolensis palliatus, 145 nucleotides long. Its record names the gene U4. It matches the Rfam family "U4 spliceosomal RNA". Rfam says of the family: U4 small nuclear RNA (U4 snRNA) is a component of the major U2-dependent spliceosome. The structure of U4 snRNA from yeast and human has been reported. U4 snRNA presents a k-turn RNA motif in the 5p-SL related to recognition of Snu13 protein. The record is from Ensembl. Lineage: Eukaryota; Metazoa; Chordata; Mammalia; Primates; Cercopithecidae.
AGCUCUGCGUGGCAGUAUCAUAGCCAAUGAGGUCUAUCCAAGGCACAAUCAUUGCUAAUUGAGAACUAUUCCCAAUACCUCACCAUGACAACUUGAAAUAUGGCCGGCAGUGGCAAUUUCUUUUCUUUUCUUUUUUUUUUUGAGA